UAUAGGAGAAAAGCUUUCUUCUUCCUCCAUUCUUCAGUUCUUCUCUCCUCCAUUAAUUUCAGUUCUUCCCCUCGAUCAUCUUGUUGAGAGGAAUGUCGUCUGGCCUGAGAUCGUACCACAGUGGUGGGUACACGUGGACGGUCUCGGACCAGGCUUCAUUCCCCUCAACAACUCGUCGGAGUAGAGGAAGAAGACGGACAGUGAUGGAGCUCAUCUGGACCUCCUCUGAUAUCCUUUUGCACCAGCAACAAUCUUCGUCUUGCCCUGUGGUAACUGGUAAGUACUCUCUUGGUUCUUCCAGGCAUUUGCACAUUUCAUGCGAUGAUGAACAGAUGAAGCACUGAGUUUGAUGAUUUCAUCUUCCUUAACUCGUGAAGCAAUGACGAUACUAGAUCAAUUGGUUGGAAAGGAAAUCAAUUCAAACAAGCUAGCUAGCUAGUAGCAUCUUGAUCGAUCACUACUCUCUUAGCUAGAUUGUUUUAAUUUUAUCAGCAGCUUCAUCAAAUCGUCAUCAGC
RNAcentral lists this precursor RNA (516 nucleotides) under Oryza sativa Japonica Group (Japanese rice). RNAcentral's name for it is "putative precursor microRNA R166f". The stretch from base 83 to 169 matches the Rfam family "mir-166 microRNA precursor family". Lineage: Eukaryota; Viridiplantae; Streptophyta; Magnoliopsida; Poales; Poaceae. The record is from RNAcentral.